GGACCCGUGGCGCAACGGUAGCGCGUCUGAUUCCAGCUCAGGUGGUUCCAGAAGGUUAAGUGUUCAAAUCACUUCGGGUUCA
Molecule: transfer RNA, 82 nt
Filed under: Candidatus Bathyarchaeota archaeon
Lineage: Archaea; Thermoproteati; Candidatus Bathyarchaeota
Description: tRNA-Trp
Rfam family: tRNA
About the family: Transfer RNA (tRNA) molecules are approximately 80 nucleotides in length. Their secondary structure includes four short double-helical elements and three loops (D, anti-codon, and T loops).
Source: RNAcentral